Molecule: ribosomal RNA, 343 nt
Filed under: uncultured bacterium
Lineage: Bacteria
Description: bacterial SSU rRNA
Rfam family: Bacterial small subunit ribosomal RNA
Source: RNAcentral
UCUGGGCGUAAGCGUGCGCACGGCGGUUGUGCAAGACCGAUGUGAAAUCCCCGGGCUUAACCUGGGAAUUGCAUUGGUGACUGCACGGCUAGAGUGUGUCAGAGGGGGGUAGAAUUCCACGUGUAGCAGUGAAAUGCGUAGAGAUGUGGAGGAAUACCGAUGGCGAAGGCAGCCCCCUGGGAUAACACUGACGCUCAUGCACGAAAGCGUGGGGAGCAAACAGGAUUAGAUACCCUGGUAGUCCACGCCCUAAACGAUGUCAACUAGUUGUUGGGGAUUCAUUUCCUUAGUAACGUAGCUAACGCGUGAAGUUGACCGCCUGGGGAGUACGGUCGCAAGAUUA